Amphimedon queenslandica is the source of this 238-nucleotide long non-coding RNA. RefSeq lists it as uncharacterized. Lineage: Eukaryota; Metazoa; Porifera; Demospongiae; Haplosclerida; Niphatidae. The record is from RefSeq and is a predicted model, not a curated record. The transcript has 3 exons.
CUGAAUUUGUAUAGAAGACUUGUAUAUCAUGACAUAGCUACUGUUUGUAAUUAUAGUAAUGUUCAUUUGAAUGAUUUGUGCCUUGGCUGAUUCAAUACAAGACAAUUAAGACUUUGCUUUUUAGCUGUUACAAUUCUAAUGACACAGUGCAUGUUCAAGAAUGCAUGAAAGAAAGAACACAAACUGUAAACAUUAUUGUUAGAUCUAUAUAGUAUUUAUUUUUAAAAUAUUUUUGUUU